AAAUGAGCCAGAGCAUCAGUAUUUAUAGAGGAGCCCUAAACACAAGGGAAGGCUUUUGAAGAAAAUUCUCCAUCUCUAGAAAUGUGAUGGGAAGUGUCACCUCCUGUGAGCUCACUGGCACAAAGCUCUGCAGAAAGGCAUGACUGAAAACUUUCUGCUGGCACAUGAGUGGGUCAGAAAAGCCUGUGCAGACAUUCCUGUUGCCAACAACUCUUGCCAGGCAUGCAUCAGUUUUUCCUCAAGUGCAAUAACUCUCACAUCACAUAUGCAGCACAUAAACAAACUGGGAGUGAAAAGAAGUUGAGGACAGAAGAGGAAGGCUUUAUAACUGGAUGAUUGUACAGCUCAGACAUGAUCAAAUCUUUACUGAGCUCCUCAAGGAAGUUGAUUAUUUCAACUUUUCUACUUUGUAAAGUUUUCAUGAAGAAUGCUAUUCCUCUUCUGAACUAAAAUUGACCAUCCCUACACCAUGAACCGAAGCUCUCAGGCCAACUACUGGCUUCUAAAUCCGUAUGAACUUAGAAAUGGAACUCUGUUAAGGUCAUGACUGCAGCAGUUGUGUUCUCUCACUGCUGAACCAUGUAUUUUUCUUCGAGCCAAAGCCACUGCCUUUUUUUCCAGAGCUGAGAAUCCCUCAGUUCCAUCCCCCCCAGAGGUGAAGUGAAUGCUGUGGAAUAACAACUUGGACACACCCACAUGGCUCCAGGUUCCACUCUCAUCCCAUUGAAGACUAGGACAAUUAUAGCUCCAACAUGGCAUGAAAUGAAACUGUUACAGUCCACAGAUUGUUUGAUAGCCCUUUCAUAUAAUAAAUGAUGAAUGAAAAUCCUAACUCAUUAACUAAUAUUCAGAAUAUGAAACAGAAAUGUCUAUUUUAUAGACUCCAACAUUUUCUAUAGGAAGUUUAUUUCUGAUUAAAGUAGUUGAUAAUUAUAAAGUUGCAAAUGAAUGCUGAAUGGGAGAAUAUAUAAAAUGUUACUUUUUUGUGGCUGAUUGUAUUAGUCAUGCAGACUAUAAAUUACUGAUGAUUAAUGUGCACCUGCUCUGAAUAAAAUAUAACAGCAUUUUAUCAUAAGUUGCUAUAAUCUUAUAUAUUAGAAAUGUGGAAACAUCCUUCUUCAUUUUCCAAAAGUUCUUUUAACACACUUCAAGUGCUUCAAUGUUAAAGCAUUUCUAACUGCUCCAUGAUGAUAUAGUAUCUUUCAGUAAUUACAGGGAAACAUGCUUAAUGAAUGAGGAUGAAAUAACACUAUUAAUGCUUAAUGAUGA
Long non-coding RNA from Passer montanus (Eurasian tree sparrow), 1269 nucleotides. RefSeq lists it as uncharacterized. NCBI's taxonomy places the organism in Eukaryota, Metazoa, Chordata, Aves, Passeriformes, Passeridae. The transcript is spliced from 4 exons. The record is from RefSeq and is a predicted model, not a curated record.